GGUGGCUGUAGCUCAGUGGUAGAGCACUGGAUUGUGGCUCCAGGUGUCGCGGGUUCGAUCCCCGUCAGUCACCCCCA
RNAcentral lists this transfer RNA (77 nucleotides) under Pseudomonadota bacterium. RNAcentral's name for it is "tRNA-His". It matches the Rfam family "tRNA". Rfam says of the family: Transfer RNA (tRNA) molecules are approximately 80 nucleotides in length. The record is from RNAcentral. Lineage: Bacteria; Pseudomonadati; Pseudomonadota.